UACAGAGGUCCCAAGCGUUGUUCGGAUUCAUUGGGCGUAAAGGGUGCGUAGGUGGCGCUGUAGGUGGGGUGUGAAAUUUCGGAGCUUAACUCCGAAACUGCAUUCCAUACUGCGGUGCUUGAGGACUGGAGAGGAGACUGGAAUUUACGGUGUAGCAGUGAAAUGCGUAGAGAUCGUAAGGAAGACCAGUGGCGAAGGCGGGUCUCUGGACAGUUCCUGACACUGAGGCACGAAGGCCAGGGGAGCAAACGGG
This 253-nucleotide ribosomal RNA is filed under the name uncultured bacterium. Its description in RNAcentral is "partial 16S ribosomal RNA". It matches the Rfam family "Bacterial small subunit ribosomal RNA", at positions 524 to 776 of the family's 1533-position model. The record is from RNAcentral.